This 510-nucleotide ribosomal RNA is filed under the name uncultured bacterium. RNAcentral's name for it is "partial 16S ribosomal RNA". It matches the Rfam family "Bacterial small subunit ribosomal RNA", at positions 28 to 507 of the family's 1533-position model. The record is from RNAcentral.
GACGAACGCUGGCGGCGUGCUUAACACAUGCAAGUCGAACGAAGAGCGACGGAAGCUUGCUUCUAUCAAUCUUAGUGGCGAACGGGUGAGUAACGCGUAAUCAACCUGCCCUUCAGAGGGGGACAACAGUUGGAAACGACUGCUAAUACCGCAUACGAUCUAACCUCGGCAUCGAGGAUAGAUGAAAGGUGGCCUCUACAUGUAAGCUAUCACUGAAGGAGGGGAUUGCGUCUGAUUAGCUAGUUGGAGGGGUAACGGCCCACCAAGGCGAUGAUCAGUAGCCGGUCUGAGAGGAUGAACGGCCACAUUGGGACUGAGACACGGCCCAGACUCCUACGGGAGGCAGCAGUGGGGAAUCUUCCGCAAUGGACGAAAGUCUGACGGAGCAACGCCGCGUGAGUGAUGACGGCCUUCGGGUUGUAAAGCUCUGUUAAUCGGGACGAAAGGCCUUCUUGCGAAUAGGGAGAAGGAUUGACGGUACCGGAAGAGAAAGCCACGGCUAACUACGUG